UACGGGGGGAGCGAGCGUUAUUCGGAUUUAUUGGGCGUAAAGGGUUCGUAGGCGGUCAGGUAAGUCAGUGGUGAAAUCUAUCGGCUCAACCGAUAAAUUGCCUUUGAAACUGCCUGACUUGAGUACGAGAUAGGAAAGCGGAAUUCUAGGUGUAGCGGUGAAAUGCGUGGAUAUCUAGAGGAACACCAGUGGCGAAAGCGGCUUUCUGGCUCGAUACUGACGCUGAGGAACGAAAGCCAGGGGAGCGAACGGGAUUAGAUACCCCCGUA
RNAcentral lists this ribosomal RNA (269 nucleotides) under uncultured prokaryote. Its description in RNAcentral is "partial 16S ribosomal RNA". It matches the Rfam family "Bacterial small subunit ribosomal RNA", at positions 524 to 792 of the family's 1533-position model. The record is from RNAcentral.